UCAGUCGACUCCUACGGGGAGGCAGCAGUGGGGAAUAUUGCACAAUGGGGGAAACCCUGAUGCAGCCAUGCCGCGUGUGUGAAGAAGGCCUUCGGGUUGUAAAGCACUUUCAGUAGGGAGGAAGGUAGUGUAGUUAACACCUGCACUAUUUGACGUUACCUACAGAAGAAGCACCGGCUAACUCCGUGCCAGCAGCCGCGGUAAUACGGAGGGUGCGAGCGUUAAUCGGAAUUACUGGGCGUAAAGCGCAUGCAGGCGGCCUGUUAAGUCAGAUGUGAAAGCCCGGGGCUUAACCUCGGAAUUGCAUUUGAAACUGGCAGGCUAGAGUCUUGUAGAGGGGGGUAGGAAUUUCAGGUGUAGCGGUGAAAUGCGUAGAGAUCUGAAGGAAUACCAGUGGCGAAGGCGGCCCCCUGGACAAAGACUGACGCUCAGAUGCCGAAAGCGUGGGGACGCAAACAGGAUUAGACUACCCCUGGUAG
Molecule: ribosomal RNA, 479 nt
Filed under: uncultured bacterium
Lineage: Bacteria
Description: bacterial SSU rRNA
Rfam family: Bacterial small subunit ribosomal RNA
Source: RNAcentral